CAACCCGAUGCAAACUGCGAAUACCGGAGAAUGUUAUCACGGGAGACACACGGCGGGUGCUAACGUCCGUCGUGAAGAGGGAAACAACCCAGACCGCCAGCUAAGGUCCCAAAGUCAUGGUUAAGUGGGAAACGAUGUGGGAAGGCCCAGACAGCCAGGAUGUUGGCUUAGAAGCAGCCAUCAUUUAAAGAAAGCGUAAUAGCUCACUGGUCGAGUCGGCCUGCGCGGAAGAUGUAACGGGGCUAAACCAUG
Molecule: ribosomal RNA, 252 nt
Filed under: Escherichia coli
Lineage: Bacteria; Pseudomonadati; Pseudomonadota; Gammaproteobacteria; Enterobacterales; Enterobacteriaceae
Description: partial 23S ribosomal RNA
Rfam family: Bacterial large subunit ribosomal RNA
Source: RNAcentral